This 400-nucleotide ribosomal RNA is filed under the name uncultured bacterium. RNAcentral's name for it is "partial 16S ribosomal RNA". It matches the Rfam family "Bacterial small subunit ribosomal RNA", at positions 29 to 526 of the family's 1533-position model. The record is from RNAcentral.
AGCGAACGCUGGCGGCAGGCCUAACACAUGCAAGUCGAACGAGUGUCGGACGGGUGAGUAACACGUGGGAAGGUGACUUUAGGUUCGGAAUAACUCAGGGAAACUUGUGCCAAUACCAUUUAAAGCGGCCCGCGUCUGAUUAGCUAGUUGGUGAGGUAAAGGCUCACCAAGGCGACGCUCCCUAGCUGGUCUGAGAGGAUGACCAGACACACUGGAACUGAGACACGGUCCAGACUCCUACGGGAGGCAGCAGUGGGGAAUAUUGCACAAGGGGCGCAAGCCUGAUGCAGCCAUGCCGCGUGUAUGAAGAAGGCCUGCGGAUUGUAAAGUACUUUCAGCGGGGAGGCGUUACCCGCAGAAGAAGCACCGGCUAACUCCGUGCCAGCAGCCGCGGUAAUUC